CCCAGUAACACGAGCGAAGGGGGAACACCCGUUUCCAUUCCGAACACGGAAGUUAAGCCCUUCAGCGCCGAGGGUACUGCAGAGGGGACUCUGUGGGAGAGCAGGCCGUUGCUGGGA
This 117-nucleotide ribosomal RNA is filed under the name bacterium. The record is from RNAcentral.